GGGGUUUGUUUUGGCUUUUGGUUGCUUGCGUGGUCUUUGUGCCGUGCAGGUGGUCUUUAGCCGGAUGUUCUUCGGGGAUGUUUACCGUAAAGGUGCAUGAGUGGUGUUUGGUUUGUUACGGGUGGUUGGAUGUCUGUUUGUGCAGCAACUUCCACGCGUUCAUACCUCUUCAGUUGUGCUACAAGGCUUCAUAUGUCUUGUGCACUUGUGGGUUUCUGUGUUGCAUACCUAAUGAAGGGAAUAGUGUGGUUAGUUCAAAGUUCGUUUCGUGAUACGUCGCUUGCGUCGUUGAACGAACCUCGAAGCGGUCUCUAUGGCCCAUGCUGUUGUUGCCCUUGCAAUGAUGGCAUGGCCCUUGGAGUGUCGUUUGGUCUCCUGGAUAUGGAACAUGAUGUGGGUUGUAGGGUCUUUAACCAUCCUAUUUUUACCCCAGUUUAGCGGUUUGCUUCUCUAAACGAUCGCUUGCCAUGUGUCGGCAUGUCCGUACAUGGUGGGCUGUGUCGAAGAGGAAUGC
Molecule: unclassified non-coding RNA, 514 nt
Filed under: Malacothrix floccifera
Lineage: Eukaryota; Viridiplantae; Streptophyta; Magnoliopsida; Asterales; Asteraceae
Description: partial external transcribed spacer
Source: RNAcentral